This 258-nucleotide ribosomal RNA is filed under the name uncultured bacterium. RNAcentral's name for it is "partial 16S ribosomal RNA". It matches the Rfam family "Bacterial small subunit ribosomal RNA", at positions 1234 to 1500 of the family's 1533-position model. The record is from RNAcentral.
CAGGUACAGCGGGAAGCCACCUGGCGACAGGGAGCGGAACCCGAAAGCCUGUCUCAGUUCGGAUUGGAGUCUGCAACCCGACUCCAUGAAGCUGGAUUCGCUAGUAAUCGCGCAUCAGCCACGGCGCGGUGAAUACGUUCCCGGGCCUUGUACACACCGCCCGUCAAGCCACGGAAGCCGGGGGUGCCUGAAGUGCGCUGCCGCAAGGAGCGCCCUAGGGUAAAACUGGUGACUGGGGCUAAGUCGUAACAAGGUAUC